AUUGAACGCUGGCGGCAGGCCUAACACAUGCAAGUCGAGCGGAGGAAGGGAGCUUGCUCCUGGCUUCAGCGGCGGACGGGUGAGUAAUGCCUAGGAAUCUGCCUGGUAGUGGGGGAUAACGUCCGGAAACGGGCGCUAAUACCGCAUACGUCCUGAGGGAGAAAAUGGGGGAUCUUCGGAGCUCACGGUAUCAGAUGAGCCUAGGGCGGAUUAGCAAGUUGGUGGGGUAAAGGCCUACCAAGGCGACGUUCCGUAACUGGUCUGAGAGGAUGAUCAGGCACACGGGAACUGAGACACGGUCCUGACUCCUACGGGAGGCAGCAGUGGGGAAUAUUGGGCGAUGGGCGAGUGCCUGAUCCUGCCAUGCCGCGUGUGUGAAGAAGGUCUUCGGAUGGUAAAGCACUGUAAGUAGGGAGGAAGGGCAGUAAGGUAAUACCUUGCUGUUUUGACGUUACCAAAAGAAUAAGCACCGGCUAACUUCGUG
Molecule: ribosomal RNA, 484 nt
Filed under: uncultured bacterium
Lineage: Bacteria
Description: partial 16S ribosomal RNA
Rfam family: Bacterial small subunit ribosomal RNA
Source: RNAcentral